Molecule: long non-coding RNA, 2223 nt
Organism: Manis javanica (Malayan pangolin)
Lineage: Eukaryota; Metazoa; Chordata; Mammalia; Pholidota; Manidae
Source: RefSeq, a predicted model, not a curated record
AAGAAAACUCAGGGAACAUGAGUCUGUGUCCAUAGAGAUUAUCCCACGUGGCAGCAUAAGGACAAACCAAUUAUGGGAAAUGUACAGAGCCUUGGAGAUACAGGGAAACAUUAAACUUACCGACGUGUGCAUAAGAGGGACAGGAGAAAACAAGAUAGGAAAGAAUUUGGAAACCCGAUGGCCAAAAAUUUCCCAGAUUUGAUGAAGAUCCAUCUACAUAUCCAUGGAGCUCUGCAAGCAAGGGCUGCUCUGGGCACUGGAGUAUAUCUAACAGCAUCCCGGUCUCAUCUGCCUCCAAACCAGCAGCACCACCACAGCCCAAGCCAAAAGUAACUCUAGAUGGCUCCAAAUGCCUUGUGGAGUCAAAAUCACCAACACUUGAGGCACACUGGGGUCGAUCAAAACUGACCCUGACCAUGAGUGGAGGGGUUGAUCUCUAAUAGGGGCGGACACAGUCUACACACUGCAAUUUUUCUUUUAAGGAGGGAGGUCACUGAGGGGACACCAGUGAGGGUAACUUUCUGACUUUUAGGUCAUUACCUGGGGCUGGUGGAGUCACCGGACAGAAUGUUGUUGAGGGUUCCAAAGAGGAAGGACAGUAUCAUGUAUUCAUUAUGCAAUCCAAGAAAGCAAAUUAUUUAAUGUAGUAGAAUUUUAUAACUUUAGCCAUAAAUUUAAAGACCAGAUAAACUCUGAGGUAUUUAUGUUUUAUCCUAGUCACUCAGAUCUCUGAGCAGGGUAGGAAUGCAUUCCAAUUGUGUUGUAAGAGUUAGGGCUUGCCAGCUGAUCAUAACAUACACAAAUGGAGCUAGUGGCUUUAGAAAGAAGGGAGUAUAGGGCUAAAAUACACCAUUUUAGACCCACUUCUGCAGGAGACUGUAGGGGGUUUAUCCUGAAUGAUGCUGACCCAAUCUGGGUGUGAAAUCUAGAAAGGAACAGGUAAACUAGGAAGCAGUAGUCUGAAGGAGGUGCUCUAAGUCACGAUAUAAUUAGUGCAAUUAUUGGUGAGUUCUUCAUUCAAGUCCCCUACCUGUGGGCCACUGUUCUCACCACUGUGAACACAGCCCUGAACACAAACCUCUACCUCUCUCAAGGGAUUUACAAUCAGGUCAGAAAUAUAGAUAAUAAACAUAUAUAUUUAUUACACCAGGGAGCAAUGAGUGCAAUAAUUAUUUGUUAGUUUGCUGGCCUCUCCUGGUCUGGGCCUGUCUGAAUAUCGUUCAGAUGAACCUUGAAAUCAACAUCACCAUGGGUGAUAGAAGCUGAGGUUGAGAGUAAGGAAAGGAACCAAAAGCUGAAAUUUUAAUGGAUGAAGAUGACUGAACCAGGAAGGAUGGUCAAGAGGGAGAGAGAAUCACUCUGUAGAGAAGACUGACUUGUUCUGAAGAUUGUUUGAUUUUCAUGAAGUUGAGCUUUAAGGGAGAAUGGGAAAUAGGUUGGAAGUAUCCAAGGAAGCACGGAAGGUGUGAGGAGGGAAAGGAAGAAGGAAUUGAUAGAAGUUUAUGCAUAUACUUAGUGAUAGAGUGAAUUUAAAAUUAGAGACACCUAUUACAUAAUUAUGAUACAUUUUAUAUAAUAUACACUUAAAUGUAAAUAUAUGAAUGGAUAUAUAUGCUUUAGCUUUUAAAUGAUCUGUGGCAUAUACAUAAUCAAAAAAAGGCAGGUGAAUAUAAAAUUGAAUAUUAUAAAUAAGAAUGCAAAUGUUAUCGAAUAUUACAGUGUGCAAAAUACCACAUUAUCUAACUGGAUGCAUAUAGAAUCAAUGUAAUGAGGAAAUGAAAUAAUGAAAAGAGCAGUCUUUCAACAGGCAUAGUCGGCUUCCUACUUCGGCUUUUUCCUUCUUCAGCCCUUUGGAGCCAAGAAGUGUGGAAUGUGGCUACAGAAGAGAAGAGAUGGUCUUCUGUCAAAUUGAAUUUCUCAAAAGUUGUUUUCAAGGAAGGAGACUGGAUCACCUGUGUUCACAUUUGUAGUUGUGUGGCAAUGCUCUUCAGAAUAAAUCAGGCAUACCAACUGCUGAGUCCAGAAGGUUCCUGUAAAAGAAAUAAUUUUAUUUUCAACAUGAAGAAGUUCUCAAAAUGUUCCAAACUAUAGCAUCAGUGUUUAAGUCAUGUAUAUUGUUAUUCAACUAGGGAUAAUGAUAAUGUUGUCUGCGUGGAUUCUUUAAGAUAUGUAAGGUUCAGUAAAGGUAAAAGACAAUAAAGACUGCUUUUGUUUCACUUUUAA